GUCAUGGUUAUCUUGCGUUGAAGCAGCUGGGGAGAGAAAUGUCAGAGGAGAAUACGCGAAUAUAUGAUGGAUCUUGGACAGAGUGGAGAGAGUAUCCAGACUUGCCCAAGGUUACUUUGUAGUUUUUUUGGUAAACAUUCUGUUUAUGUCAUGAAAUGAAAGAUGUUGCUAGUCUGAAACAAUCACCUCUGUAAC
RNAcentral lists this ribosomal RNA (195 nucleotides) under Skeletonema menzelii. RNAcentral describes it as "partial Trypanosomatid mitochondrial large subunit ribosomal RNA". Lineage: Eukaryota; Bacillariophyta; Thalassiosirophyceae; Thalassiosirales; Thalassiosiraceae. The record is from RNAcentral.